GACGAACGCUGGCGGCGUGCUUAACACAUGCAAGUCGAACGAUGAAGCCGGAGCUUGCUCUGAUGAAUUAGUGGCGAACGGGUGAGUAACACGUGAGUAACCUGCCCUUGACUCUGGGAUAACUGCUAGAAAUGGUAGCUAAUACCGGAUACGACCCUCGGAGGCAUCUCCAGGGGGUGGAAAGAAUUUCGGUCAAGGAUGGACUCGCGGCCUAUCAGCUAGUUGGUGAGGUAACGGCUCACCAAGGCGACGACGGGUAGCCGGCCUGAGAGGGUGACCGGCCACACUGGGACUGAGACACGGCCCAGACUCCUACGGGAGGCAGCAGUGGGGAAUAUUGCACAAUGGGCGCAAGCCUGAUGCAGCAACGCCGCGUGAGUGAUGAAGGCCCUAGGGUUGUAAAGCUCUUUCGGCGGGGAAGAUAGUGACGGUACCCGCAGAAGAAGCCCCGGCUAACUUCGUGCCAGCAGCCGCGGUAA
Molecule: ribosomal RNA, 479 nt
Filed under: uncultured bacterium
Lineage: Bacteria
Description: partial 16S ribosomal RNA
Rfam family: Bacterial small subunit ribosomal RNA
Source: RNAcentral